GGAUGUGAGGGUUAUCUGGCUGCGACAUCUGUCACCCCAUUGAUCGCCAGGAUUGAUUCGGCUGAUCUGGCUGUCUAGGCGGGUGUCCCCUUCCUCCCUCACUGCUCCAUGCGCAUCCCUCCCAAAGCUGCACACUCGGUCAAAGAGGAUGACUGUCCCAGACAGAGGAGGACAAUUCUUCGGUCAAGGGUAUACAAGUAGCUGCGUUCCCUUGCUAGAACCUCCAAGCAAGCUCUCAAGUGAUCAUUAACCAUUAUCUUUUUGAAAAUUGGGACACUGUAGAUUCAUCUUAACUCUUUAUUUUAGGUGAGAUAUUGAACCUAUUC
The sequence is an unclassified non-coding RNA, 326 nucleotides long. Its record names the gene 7SK. It matches the Rfam family "7SK RNA". From Rfam's summary of the family: 7SK was discovered as an abundant small nuclear RNA in the mid-70s but a possible function has only recently been suggested. Two independent studies have found that 7SK RNA binds the CDK9/cyclin T complex (known as elongation factor P-TEFb). The record is from Ensembl.